GUGGAGAAGACUUUGAAAAUGCCAGAUUUAAAAAAAAAAUCCUAUCAGACAGAAAGAGGGUCUGUCCUUGCCAUGUGAUACAUUGAAUUGAAUAAUUAUAAGAAUAUCAUUUGUAGAAAACCUUAAGUACAUUGUUCCUGCCAAACUUGGUUAAAAUCAGUCAAGUAAUUUCAGAGAAAAAGAUGAUGGACACUAUGUGAUGGUAAUAUAGCUCAUAUUGCCUUAUGUGCCAGGUGAACUAAAGUGUUGUAACAUAUUUGUGUUACUCAAAUGUAAAAAUAGCUAUCACUUCACUAUCAAGGACAAAACUGAAAUCAAUUUCUAUGACAGUAAUAAUAACUAGAGGCUCUCAAGAGCCUGUAUCCCUCACCUGACUUUACUUUGGUUUUUGAAAUCGUAUAAAAAAGAUAAAAUUUGGCUUCAAAGUAACAACACUUAGCCCGCACCUCAAAAAGGAAAGGAACAAACAUGUUUGGUUUCAUUCAAUUCAGUGGUUCCUUAAUAAAAGAAAUUUGUAUGUAUUUCCCAUAGGGUCCUAUGUUAAACUAAGUCCCCCACUGGCAGCCAUCUUGGAUGAUGGAUGGGCUACAAAGGAACAACACUUGGUCAGCACCUCAUAAAGAACAUUCAUGCUAUGUUUGGUUUCAUUCCAUUCAGUGGUUCUCUAAAAGAAGUCAUUUGUAUGCAUUUCCCAUUGGGUCCUAUGUUAAACUAAGUCCCCUGCUGGUGGCCAUCUUGGAUAAAGUAACAACACUUGGUCAGCACCUCAUAAGGAACAUUCAUGACAUGUUUGGUUUCAUUCCAUUCAGUGAUGAAAAAAGCUCACGUGGCCCUUUGGGCCAGGUGAGCUAAAAAAGAAAUAAAAGUACAAUCAUGUAGAUACUUAACUUUUUAUAAAAAUAAAUGAAAACAAAAAAUCCUUUGAGUAUUAAAAUUAAUGUUUUCCCAUUAUGUUCAUUAGAGUUUCAUACCCCAAGAGUGAGGUACUUCCAUUAUGACAAAUAGAUGUAUAUUAAAGAAU
Molecule: long non-coding RNA, 1021 nt
Filed under: Mytilus galloprovincialis (Mediterranean mussel)
Lineage: Eukaryota; Metazoa; Mollusca; Bivalvia; Mytilida; Mytilidae
Source: RNAcentral